CUAGUCAGCGGAGAGGACCGCAGCCUUUACAGGAUGGAUAAUUAAAUAUAAAAAUAUCCAUCCUGUCAAGGAUGUGGUCUCCUCCGCGGACUAG
This 94-nucleotide microRNA precursor is filed under the name Picea abies (Norway spruce). RNAcentral's name for it is "miR11469 stem-loop (pab-MIR11469)". Lineage: Eukaryota; Viridiplantae; Streptophyta; Pinopsida; Pinales; Pinaceae. The record is from miRBase by way of RNAcentral.